Molecule: ribosomal RNA, 489 nt
Filed under: uncultured bacterium
Lineage: Bacteria
Description: bacterial SSU rRNA
Rfam family: Bacterial small subunit ribosomal RNA
Source: RNAcentral
AUUGAACGCUGGCGGCAGGCCUAACACAUGCAAGUCGAGCGGCAGCACGGGAAGCUUGCUUCCUGGUGGCGAGCGGCGGACGGGUGAGUAAUGCAUGGGAAUCUGCCCGAUAGUGGGGGAUAACGUGUGGAAACGCACGCUAAUACCGCAUACGUCCUACGGGAGAAAGGAGGGGAUCUUCGGACCUUUCGCUAUCGGAUGAGCCCAUGUUGGAUUAGCUAGUUGGUGAGGUAAUGGCUCACCAAGGCAACGAUCCAUAGCUGGUCUGAGAGGAUGAUCAGCCACACUGGGACUGAGACACGGCCCAGACUCCUACGGGAGGCAGCAGUGGGGAAUAUUGGACAAUGGGCGAAAGCCUGAUCCAGCCAUGCCGCGUGUGUGAAGAAGGCCUUAGGGUUGUAAAGCACUUUCAGUGGGGAAGAAAGCCUGAGACCUAAUACGUUUCAGGAAGGACAUCACCCACAGAAGAAGCACCGGCUAACUCCGUGC